UACAGAGGGGGCAAGCGUUGUUCGGAAUUACUGGGCGUAAAGGGCGCGUAGGCGGCCUGUUAAGUCGAACGUGAAAUCCCCGGGCUCAACCCGGGAACUGCGUCCGAUACUGGCAGGCUUGAAUCCGGGAGAGGGAUGCGGAAUUCCAGGUGUAGCGGUGAAAUGCGUAGAUAUCGGGAGGAACACCUGUGGCGAAAGCGGCGCACUGGACCACAUCUGACGCUGAGGCACGAAAGCCAGGGGAGCAAACGGG
Molecule: ribosomal RNA, 253 nt
Filed under: uncultured bacterium
Lineage: Bacteria
Description: partial 16S ribosomal RNA
Rfam family: Bacterial small subunit ribosomal RNA
Source: RNAcentral